GCACCCGCGGUAAUUCCAGCUCCAAUAGCGUAUAUUAAAGUUGUUGCAGUUAAAAAGCUCGUAGUUGGAUUUCUGGAAGGGUGCCGAUGUCCACUUAACGUGUGCGCAGCGGCGCCCUCUCAUCCUUCUGUUAGCGUCUCUUGGCAUUCAUUUGCUGGUGGCGGGCUCAGAUAUUUUACCUUGAGAAAAUUAGAGUGUUUCAGGCAGGCUAGGCCGGAAUACAUUAGCAUGGAAUAAUGGAAUAGGAGUACGGUCUCUUUGUUGGUUUGAGGGACUGCAGUAAUGAUUAAUAGGGAUAGUUGGGGGCAUUAGUACUUAACUGUCAGAGGUGGAAUUCUCAGAUUUGUUAAAGACUGACUUAUGCGAAAGCAUUUGCCAAGGAUGUUUUUAUUGAUCAAGAACGAAAGU
Molecule: ribosomal RNA, 408 nt
Filed under: uncultured eukaryote
Lineage: Eukaryota
Description: SSU rRNA
Rfam family: Eukaryotic small subunit ribosomal RNA
Source: RNAcentral